AGAGGUUUACAAGUGUGUGCCUUCACAAGGGGAGAGGCUCCCUUUAUAUAGAAAUUUUCUAGCCUUUACUGUUGAGUCAUAAGAUCUUUACUGUGCCUUCACGCAGACUUUUUACUGUUCAUAAAUAGUAGCUUGUCUGCUUCUUUUUACUGUUGAGGAAUAAUAUGUCUGCCACUGUUGUUUCUUUUUACUGUUGGGGAAUAGUCUGUUUGCCACUUCUGCCUUUUACUAUUCUUAUAUUUAUUCUGACUCUGACUCAGAUGAGGAUGAGGACGAAGAUGAGGUGUCCUUUCUUUUCUUGCCUCUUUUCUUUAAUUUUUCUUUCUUUUCUUUUUGCACCUUUAUUUUCUUUUUAUCCUUUCUUUUCCCUGUUUUACUCUUGAUUUUUACUGGUGGUAGAACUCCAUAACAGUCGUUUUCAUUGCUGUCGCAGUGUGAAGAUGCCUGGUUCUUACUGGAGGAUGACGUCUUGGAUGACGCUGUCGACUCCGAUUCUGAACUUGACUGUUUUUUAGUCUUUCUUCUACUGGAUGUCUUCUUCUGUUUACUGGAUGACUUUUUUGAUGAAGUUUUACUAGAGGACUCUUUACUGAGAUCUUGCUUUAUCUUUUCCUUUUCUCCAUAAGUAAGCUGAUUGUAAAACCAAAUACAAGUUUGAGUAAAAUUGAGCAGUUUGAAGAUGAUAAAGUAUCAUUAAAAUUUAAUAGAAGUGCAAGUAGUAGAUAUACAGGAUCUUCAUCUUCAGUAGUAACAGAAGAUGUAGGCAGAGUUUCAAACCUACCUUCAGUAAUAUAUGCUACAUACAAAGGAAAUGAACCUAAACCAGUAAUCCAGACCAUAGUAAAACUCAGGUUUUCUACAUCAGAUAUUCCAGACAGACACCUUAAAUUGAAAGGAGUAGAUUAUAGUUCUUCAGUUUCUCAAGCAGUUUAUAAUCCGAUAGAAAAUUAUUUAAAUCAGCAGGUUGAGAUAACACCUUCUUCACCAGAAUCACCAUCAGCAUCUGCUAUAACAGAAAACAUAAAUAAUAUAAAUAGAGAAUUAAAUGUUCUUAGUAAGAAAAAAAUUGAAAAGAAAUUUCUAAAAGAAAUAACAAAGACAAAGAAUUUAAGUAAGUUAAAUAAAAUUGUUAAAGAACAUAAGUUUAAAAAUUUAAAAGAAGAAUACCUUAAUUAUAUUAGUCAGGAUAAAGAAGAAAUAGGAUUUUUCGAAUGGUUUAAACUAUGUAAAAAGAAAAGUAUUAAUCCGGUAACAAUAAGAGAUAAAAGACCAGAAUGGAUUGUAAAUGAUAAAGUAAUUUAGAGUGAGUUUCCACCUAAAAUAAUUAGUAAAAUAAAACAUGGAGAAAAUGAGAUAAUUUGUGCACCAUAUAAAAUAACUAAAGAAAAUGAUACAGAUAAGAAAGUUAUAGAGCAAAAUAAUUUUAGUAAUGCAAGUAUGAUAUGUAUAGGUACAAAGCUAAAAAAGAUAGAAAAAAUUUUAAAAGAAAAAGAAGUGGAAAUAGAGGAGAAAAAAGAAAUAAAACCACAUAUUUUUAAACCUUAUCAGAUAUCUAGUUCAAGCCAGAAGGAAUUAAAAGGAAAUAAAAAUAAAUUUUUACAGAGUUUGAAAGACCAGUUAAGUAAAAUAGAAAUUUCAGAAUCAAGUAAAAAUAUAGUUUCAGAAAGCCCCCAAUCCAAAAAUAUAAAUGCAUUAGAAGAAGAAUCAGAAUUUGAAACUGAGCAAAGUCAGCCAGAAUCAGACGAUAUUAAACAAUUCGAAAUAAAUCCUAUAGCCCAUAGAGAAAUAAUAAGUAAAGCACCAGAUUUAAAACUAAUAGAAAAACCAAAUAUUACUUCUCAAUUUAAAUAUAAUGCUUCAACAGUAUAUGAAUGAAAUAUAGAUGGAUUGUCUGAAUAUAAUAUUUUAAGUUUAUUACAGCAAAUGACUAUGGCAGCCAAUGCAUAUAAAACUCAGUCAUUUGCUUCAGAUAGAGCAAUAGCUGAGAUAAUUAUAGCAAGUUUUACAGGACAAUUAAAAGGUUGGUGGAAUUACCACCUAACUGAUCAGGAGCAAUUAAACAUAUUAAAUUCAGUUUAGGUAAAUAGUGAAGGAGAACCUAUAUAUAAUGAACAAGGAGAAACUAUUCAGGAUGCAGUAUCAACCUUAAUUUUAACAAUCUCUUUACAUUUUAUAGGAGAUCCAUUCCUUUUAAAAGAUAAAAAUGCUGAACUAUUAAGUAAUUUAAAAUGUAAAAAAUUAAGUGAUUUUCAGUAUUAUAAAACUCCAUUUUUGACCAGAUUAAUGUUAAGGGAAUACUCAAAUCAAGAUUUUUGGAAAGAAAAAUUCCUAGCAAGACUUCCGUAUUUCCUAGGAGAAAAGGUUAGGAAUAAUAUAAAACAACAAUUUGGUAGCCCAAUACCAUAUAAAAGGUUAACAUAUAGCCAGUUAGUUAGUAUAAUACAGAAGGAGGGCCUACAGAUUUGUCAAGACUUAAAACUGCAAAAAACUCUAAAAUAUGAAAUGAAUAAAACAAAGCAAGAACUAGGAUAUUUCUGUAAGCAGUUUGAUUAUGGAAUAACUCAGGAUAAAAGUUGUAAUGGUCAAUGUUCUAAAUUUAAACCAAGAAAAUAUAAGAAAAAUAAAUAUUAUAAGAAGAGAUAUAUAGCAAAACCUAGUAAAGAGGAAUAUUAUAGGAAGAAAAGUUAUAAACCUUAUAACAAAUAUAGAAAGAAGGUUCAAAUGAAUAAAACUCAGAAUAAAAAAUCGUUUAAGAAUUAAUAUGUUAUAAUUGUGGUAAAAAAGGACAUACAUCUAAGUUUUGUAGGUUUAAUAAAAAACUAAAUGAAUUAAAUUUAGAAGAAGAAAUAAUAAAUAAAAUCCAACAAUUAUAUAUAGAAUCAGAAUUUUCAGAAUCAGAGAUAACAGAAAGUGAUGACCAAAUUGAUGAGUUAGGAACUAGUUCAUCAGACAAAUCAAUAAAUGUUUUGACUAAAGAACAAGGCUCCUUAUUAGAGUUACUAAAUAAUAUUGAAGAUAAUAGUACUAAAGAAAAUUUUCUUAACAAAUUAAUAAAAAGUUUUGAUGAAGUGGAAGAAAUUAAAAGUAUUGUUCCUAAAAUAGAAAAACAAACUUAUGAUCUAACUAAAAUAUUAAGUAAAAAUAAAAAAUCUAAAGAAACAGUAUCAAUAGGAGAAUUGCAAAAGGAAAUCAGAAUAAUAAAAAAUGAAGUAAAAGAUUUAAAGUACCAAUUUCAAAAGGAUUCAAAAAGAAUAAAAUUUUUGGAAGAAUUAGUUUCUGAAUCUUCAUCGUCUAGUGGAAAGGAUGAAGAUGAGGAAGAAAAUGAUAAAAUAAAUCAGUUGGACAGUGAAGAAGUAGAUAAUAACUUUAUACUACUAUUACAAGAAAUAACUUCUAGGAAGUAUUUAGUAAAGAUAACAAUUAAAUUAUCAUAAGACUUUAGGAUAAAUACUAUAGCAUUAUUUGAUACAAGAGCGUAUUUAAAUUGUAUAAAAUCAAGUUUAGUACCUAAAAGGUUUUGGCAAGAGACUAAGGAAAAAUUUAAAACAACAAAUAAGACUAGCUUAAAUAUUUUAGGAAAAACAGAAGUAUUAAUAGUAAAUCAAGAUUUAGAAAUAAAAACUGUAUUUUUAUUAUCCCAUCAAAUAAAUCACAUGGUAAUAUUAGGAACCCUUUUAUAAAUCUAAUAACACCUUAUUCAGUAAAAGAAGAUUGUAUAAAAAUUAAAACAAAGAAUAAAAAGAUUAGAAUGGAUUUCACAGAAAAACUUCAAAGAAAAAAUUUAAACUUAAUAAGAGCACAUUCUAUUAGAACAAUAGAAAUAAAUUCAAUAAUAAAAUCAAGGACAGAGGACUUAAAAGAUUUAAAAAAUAGUGUGCAUUUAACUAGAAUUACAAAUCAUUUAGGAAGCAAACUUAUAAAAACUAAGAUAGAAAAACUAAAACAUGAUAUGGAGAAAGAAUUAUGUGCAGAGCACCCCAAUGCUUUUUGGAAUAAAAAACAACAUAUGGUAGAUCUGCCUUAUGAAGAGAAUUUUGAUGAACGAACAAUUUCUACUAAAGCAAAACCAAUUAAAAUGAGUCCAGAACUCAUAGAACAUUGUAAAAAGGAGAUUAAAGAACUAGAAGAUAAAAAAUUAAUAAGUAAAUCAAGAAGCCAUUGGUCAUGUGCGGCUUUUUAUGUUAAUAAAAGUGCAGAGAUAGAAAGAGAUACACUAAGGUUAGUUAUAAAUUAUAAACCAUUAAAUACAGCAUUAAAAUGGAUUAGAUAUCUCAUUCCUAAUAAGAAAGAUUUUUUAAAUAGGUUAUACAAUGCAAAUAUUUUUAGUAAAUUUGAUAUGAAGUCAGGAUAUUGGCAAAUUCAAAUUCACCCUAAUGAUAGGUAUAAAACAGUUUCUACUGUUCCUUUUGGACAGUAUAUGCCUUUUGGUCUAAAAAACGCGCCAUCAGAAUUUCAAAGAAGUAUGAAUGAUAUUUUUAAUCCUUAUUCAAAAUUCUGUAUUGUUUAUAUAGAUGAUGUCUUAGUUUUUAGCUAAAGUACAGAAGAACAUUUUAAGCAUUUAAAAACAUUCUGUAUGGUAAUAAAAAAGAAUGGAUUAGCUUUAAGUAAAACUAAAAUAAAUCUUUUUCAAACUAAAAUUAGAUUUUUAGGGCAUUAUAUAAAGUAAGGUAUAAGUUUACAGACGAAAUAACCAAUAAAACUCAAUUACAAAGAUUUUUAGGUUGUCUAAAUUAUGUUAUAGACUUUUGACUCGCGGUUGUCGAAGCCGGUCAAAAAUAACCUUUCUGGUUAUCAACAAUUUUACAACUGCAGAUAGUGGUGAAAGGAUCAAAUCUACAGAGAAUUGAUUACCUAUUUAUUUUUCUCAACAAGACCAAUAAAAUGAACUGAAACAAUAAUAAAUUAAAGAUGAUAUAAAAGACUGAAAGUGGGAUCAAAUGAGAAUUGCAAUAAAAGUAAAAUGGGGGGUUUGAGAUUGAUUGUAGUAACUAAUAAUGAGAGUAAUAAUAGAAAGCAAAUAAUUAAAAUAAAAGAGUAAAUCAAUAUGAGAAAAGUCUAGUUGAAGAUAUGAAUCCACUUUGGUUGUUUGGGUUGAUCAUUGAAACUUAAAUUAUCUUGAUUGAUUCAAUAGAUUAGUUAUAGGGGUGGAAGACGCUUCUCACCACCAUGUCUCUCCUUAUGAUUAAAUUAAUUAGGGAACGUCCUCUAAUUAAUUACUAAUUAACAAAUUGCCAAGGAACGUGCUUGGGCCAUAGGCAUCAAAACAAUUGUCAAUUGCAUAAAGAAAUAGAGAGAUCCAAUCCUAACUACCCAAACUUAUGGAGAUAACGCUAGACCAUGCAAUUUCCUUGGGUUUUAUCCAAGUGUUCUAAGGUCAGAAUAUUUCCAGCAAUUACGGACUAAAAAUAAUCCUAACUAACAAUCAAUUAACUUUGCAAUUAAAAUCAAGUGGCCAAUUUGAUCAAAACAACAAAGUAAUCAUAUAAUUAAAGCAUCAAUUGCAUAAAUAUUGAACAAAACCAAAGACAAUAAUUUAUGUUCAGAUCUCACAACCCAUUAAACAACCUUAGUUUCAACCAAUCCUCAACUAGAAUUAAAAUCAGCCACUCAUUGGCUGAAUUAAAAAUAGAAAAUAAAUAAAAGGGAAAAGAAAAAAACCGAAGAUGAGCACGCUGCGGAAAUCGCUGAGAGGAAUUGGAGAGAUUGGAGAGAUUGGAAUUGCUGUCCUCUGAAUUGUUCACUGGAAGUUCUAUUUAUAAGUGCAGAGGAGCGCACUAUUUAGGAAAAUUGCUGGCCUGGGAGUGGAUUGAGUGUGCGAAUGUCCACGCGAAGCUGGAGUGAGGGCGCG
RNAcentral lists this long non-coding RNA (5848 nucleotides) under Manihot esculenta (cassava). Its description in RNAcentral is "long non-coding RNA (MESC_LNC012884)". The record is from RNAcentral. Lineage: Eukaryota; Viridiplantae; Streptophyta; Magnoliopsida; Malpighiales; Euphorbiaceae.